GCUGGGCAUGGUGGCGCAUGCCUGUAAUCCCAGCUACUCAGGAGGCUGAGGCGGGAGAAUUGCCUGAACCCAGGAGGCGAAGGUUGCAGUGAGCUGAGAUCAUGCAACUAUGCUGCAGCCUGGGUGACAGAGCAAGACUCCCGUCUCAA
Unclassified non-coding RNA from Callithrix jacchus (white-tufted-ear marmoset), 149 nucleotides. It matches the Rfam family "Metazoan signal recognition particle RNA". From Rfam's summary of the family: The signal recognition particle (SRP) is a universally conserved ribonucleoprotein. The record is from Ensembl. NCBI's taxonomy places the organism in Eukaryota, Metazoa, Chordata, Mammalia, Primates, Cebidae.